This is a long non-coding RNA of Scleropages formosus (Asian bonytongue), 1773 nucleotides long. RefSeq lists it as uncharacterized. The record is from RefSeq and is a predicted model, not a curated record. Lineage: Eukaryota; Metazoa; Chordata; Actinopteri; Osteoglossiformes; Osteoglossidae. The transcript has 3 exons.
CCGCCCGCUGCGGCGCCGCUGCGGCGCGGAAUGAGCGCAGCUGCUCUCACGACCUCGAGUCGAUAAGUGUGCCGAGGUGGUCGCGAGGACGCGCUACUCGAGACGCAAUUGGCGCUGCGGCUCCUUCACGUCACGCAGGGUCCCAGCUAUCCGAACCCUAUCCCAGAAGUAGAGUGCAUGGAAGGGUACAUCCUGGAUGGGACACCAGUCCAUUGGUGAAGCACCUCGAUCAACCUGGGAUCUUCCAAGUGCGCUGCCACGGUUCUAACCACUGCGCCACCUGGUGCUCCCUGCUGAUACAGUAGAUGCCACUGGAAAUGAACAGCUGGAUCCCCUCAACGUUGAGUGCAACAUGUAGGUGUGCUAAGGUGAUCCGACGCAGAACGGUGGGCAGGAGGAAACGGCGAACAAAAGACAGCAGAGCAUUUUUGGUUGAGAUCCUUUAAAGGUGCAUUCAAUAUAUUGUUCUUCCAUAGUUCUACAUUAGAAGGCUUAAGCAUAUUCACAGACUUCAUUUAUAAACACAGUACUUAUAGAAAAAAAAAAAACUAAUAAAAAUAAUCAGCAUUUUCAUAGCAGCAAAGAAAACUGAAAGAAUUGUAUUUACAACUUUUAAAUGACAAGGCAAGUAGUACACCGCAAAAAAUAUUUUAACAGGUUUUUCAUUGUGCACAAGAUUUUCAGGUAUGUACAAGACUGAUUCCCAUGAAGCUAAACAGACUCGUUUCUCUCCUGUAUAUAAUGACAUCGCGGUCAUGUCAAGAUUUCCUUUAAACACGUCAAAUUUGUCUUAUGCACACUUGUGUCAAGAAAUGUUGAGGAAAUUGAGACAAAAAAAAAAAAGUCAAGAAAACUGUUUCGUGAGUGUUUUCUAGCUUGGAAAUUAAAAUGUGAAAUGUAAACCAAAAAGGACUGUGGAGAAUGUUGAAGAGGGAAGAACUUACGUAAGAUUUGAGUCCAGAACACUGACCUGAACACACACACCUUCACCUUGUCAGCGCACAUAUCUGCUUCAUUCUGCAACAGUCAAAAUCUCGUUCUCUCGCUCUAUGUAUAUAUUAAUAUAAGCUUUAAAUAAAUUCAGUGUCCAUUUCACAGGGAAAGCUCAAAAAAUAAAUAUCCACAGUUUAAUUUUCUUUUGUAGGAUGUUUUUUUUUUUUUUUUCCUCUGCGUAACUGUGCAUGUGCAAGCUCUAUGCAACGUAAGAUCUGCUGCUGAAAAUCAAAAAGAUUACAUUCAUCUCCUUUCACUGUUACUUGAUGGAAUCAAAUGACUCCGCCUCCUGAGCUAAGCCCCGCCCCCAACAUUCCAGAGUCAAUAGCAAGGGGUUCAGGGGAGCGCCACUCAUCCCCAUGUUUCAGAAACACUCAAGCUGCACUUCAAGUAUUCAAAAAUAGACUUAUGAAUAGUUUAACCAGGUAAAUUUUCUAUGCAAGUACUUAAGUAAAAUAAGGUAACUACAAUACAUCCCCCCAUGCAAUAUAAAAGCACAGCCUCCUGUAUCUCAUGAAACUACUACCCUUAGAGGCAGGAACAUUAUUGCAACUGUGAUUUGUCACACUUAAUGUGUUUUUUUUUUUUUUUUUUUCUUCCUCAAAUUUGGUUGAUCUUUUCAUAUUUUAAAGAGAUUAGCUUUUAACUUACUCAAUACUUUUGUGUGAAUCUACUUCUAGUUACAUGUAUGCAUCUUAAAAUUUUAGACAAGUAUAAUUACUAUUCUACUUACACACAGAUAUUAUAUAAUAUUGUAUAAAUAUUUAUGUGUAUGUAGAA